GUUUUGAACAUCUAAUUACUUGGCUUGAUUAAAGGGAGACUGUACAGAAAUUUUACUUUUUAACACAACAAAAAAUCAAAAUAUAAAAAGAAGUGAAAACAGGCAUCCAGUCCACCAGAACACAAACCCAUUAAGUACAAAAUAGUGAGCAUCUUUUUAUUAAUGAUAAUGCUAUAAGAACGCAUCUGUUUUAUUACACUUCUUUUCACUCUCAAAUUAAAAAGUAGCCUUUACUGAUGCUUGGACUGCUUUCAGAAGCAAUGCAUGAUAAUGCUGCCACCUCAUGGUUGCAACAUCAUAUACAUCCUACACAGCAGUUUAUAUUUUAGGUCAUGUUUAAAAAUAUGAAACUGGUUUAUGUAGAUUUAGAUGCAGGUAUGCUCUUUAAGUUUUAAAACUUAAAAUUUUUUGGAACACUUGCUGACCUGACCACACAGUCAAGCAACCACAAGAUCAGAUGCCGUUUUCUGAAGAACUUGCUGAAAGAGCUGCACAUCUUGAGCCUGUAAAAUCUCAACUUGAAUGAAUGGAUUAAAUUGCCAGAUAACAUUUUAUGAUAUGCUACUGCAUAUUUACAUUUAAUAAAAUCAACACUUUAAAUCCACUUAAACAAAACAAUUUUAACUCAUAACUUAACUGUAACUUAUAUAUGAUUUCAACUUGGAUGGAUGGAAAGGAUUUCUACAACAGUCAGAUUAAAAUCAUCUUAACAAAUAAAUGUAAACACUUUUAGACAAAUCAGCACAGCUGACAGGCAAAGGUGAUUUACACCAGUUAACACACCACAACGAGCCAAGUCAUUAAAAUCACAUGAGACUCUUCAGUCCUGCGUCCUGAACUACACCAGAACAGGAUUUUAGUACAGAUUCGCAUAACACAGCUCAUGGUCCAUGUCAUGUGGGGUACAAACAUGCAGGGAUACAUUGCACAGACAUCCAAACGGCUUUAUAGAUGGAACAUAAAUUUUCACUUUACUGCUUGUCCAGAAGCCCUGGCAAAUACGACAAGUAUGUUUGGUGUCUUGGAUUUGCACAUGAAGGAAGAAUAGGACAUUUUGGGAAAUAAUGCUUAUUUGCUCUUUGCCAGAGGUUUAAGAUUUGAUCAAUACUAAUUUACUGUCUGUAUGUUCACCGCAAGGUCAGUUCCCAAAUUUAGCACAGAGACUGCAAACAGAAUGAAAAGAGCCUGAUGCUGUCCAAAAGUUGAAAACAGUCCUGCAGGGACUUCAUGAAGCAACUUAGCCAUGAAUCAGUCGUAUUAAACAAAUUAGAUAUGAUUAAAUAUAACAUAUUAAAAGAUGAUUUAAUAACACUGGCUACAGCCGGCCCUUUCUCCUUGUUUCCAGUCUUUGUUUGAGGAUAAUCUAACUGCUGUCCUACAUUUACAGACAUCUGACUUUCCCUGGACAGCAAACUGUCUGUUUCUGUGAUGAUUUAAAUGAUAUGAAUGAGAGUCAUACUUAUCAAACUUUACAAGAAAGUGCAACUGUGUCCCUCUCAUUCAUAUCGAAGGAAGGCAAUGUCAACAUGUAUCAGCAUUUGUUUUAUAAAGUGCCUAGUUAACCCCAACCACCUCUUCUUCAGUAAUAUUGUAAGCAAAAUUUGGUUAUUCUGAGUUCCAUUAAAAUGUUACAAUUUAUUGUAAAAUACAAAUACAUAUUUAUUUUUCACUUCAAACAACAUAUCACAAAACUGGUUUCAAAAAGCAUCCUGGGAUUUUUAGGACUUAAAAGAAGAGAUUUUCAUUUUCAGAACAAAGAAUAUAAAGUCACAAAGAAUAUAAAGAGAAGAAAGAGAAGAGAAGAAAUCUGCUGGAUUCUUUUCUAUCUUGCUCUUCUUAUGUGGGUAUGUCUCCAUUUUCUAUCUACGUAGGUAAGUAUUCGACAUUUUAAAGCAUGUAUGGGUGGCCUCCCUUAUUAGUCACAUUAAGGAAGUAGUCUCUGAAGAUCAGAUAUUACCCACGAUUCGCUGGCAGCAGUCACUUGCAGAUGACACGCUAGGUCGCUUAGGCUCUGACCACUCCUACAGAAACAGAAGAGGGUGUGGAAUAAUUACUGUGUGUGUGUGAAUAACAGGAAGUUUAGAUUUUUCAGUAACAAUUUUUCAUCAUCAAUUCAUCAAUU
Molecule: long non-coding RNA, 2122 nt
Organism: Oreochromis aureus
Lineage: Eukaryota; Metazoa; Chordata; Actinopteri; Cichliformes; Cichlidae
Source: Ensembl